Molecule: ribosomal RNA, 253 nt
Filed under: uncultured bacterium
Lineage: Bacteria
Description: partial 16S ribosomal RNA
Rfam family: Bacterial small subunit ribosomal RNA
Source: RNAcentral
UACAGAGGUCUCAAGCGUUGUUCGGAUUCAUUGGGCGUAAAGGGUGCGUAGGCGGCGCGGUAAGUCGGGUGUGAAAUUUCGAGGCUUAACUCCGAAACUGCAUUCGAUACUACCGUGCUUGAGGACUGGAGAGGAGACUGGAAUUUACGGUGUAGCGGUGAAAUGCGUAGAUAUCGUAAGGAAGACCAGUGGCGAAGGCGGGUCUCUGGACAGUUCCUGACGCUGAGGCACGAAGGCCAGGGGAGCAAACGGG